CAAUGGCGUAUAUUAAAGUUGUUGCAGUUAAAAAGCUCGUAGUUGGAUUUCUGGCAGGAGCGACCGGUCGGCCCAUUGUGGUGUGUACUAGUGUUGCAUCUGGCCAUAUUUGUGGAGAGCGUGUGUGGCAUUAAUUUGUCGUGCUCGGGACCCGCAUCGUUUACUGUGAGAAAAUUAGAGUGUUCAAAGCAGGCUUAUGCCUUGGAUAUGUUAGCAUGGAAUAAUAAGAUAAGACUUUGGCGGUCUAUUUUGUUGGUUUGCACGCCAUUGUAAUGAUUGAUAGGGACAGUUGGGGGUAUUCAUAUUUAAUUGUCAGAGGUGAAAUUCUUGGAUUCGGUCAAGACUAACUUAUGCGAAAGCAUUCACCAAGGAUGUCUUCUUUAAUCAAGAACGAAAGUUGGGGGAUCGAAGACGAUUAGAUACCAU
Molecule: ribosomal RNA, 426 nt
Filed under: uncultured eukaryote
Lineage: Eukaryota
Description: SSU rRNA
Rfam family: Eukaryotic small subunit ribosomal RNA
Source: RNAcentral